UACGUAGGGUGCGAGCGUUGUCCGGAAUUAUUGGGCGUAAAGAGCUUGUAGGCGGUUUGUCGCGUCUGCUGUGAAAUUUCGGGGCUCAACCCCGAACUUGCAGUGGGUACGGGCAGACUAGAGUGUGGUAGGGGAGACUGGAAUUCCUGGUGUAGCGGUGAAAUGCGCAGAUAUCAGGAGGAACACCGAUGGCGAAGGCAGGUCUCUGGGCCACUACUGACGCUGGAGAAAGCCGGAAAGCAUGGGGAGCGAACAGG
RNAcentral lists this ribosomal RNA (257 nucleotides) under uncultured bacterium. RNAcentral describes it as "partial 16S ribosomal RNA". It matches the Rfam family "Bacterial small subunit ribosomal RNA", at positions 524 to 776 of the family's 1533-position model. The record is from RNAcentral.